UUUGAUACACACGCUUGACAAAAAAUUAAUGGAUGAUGUUACUGUUCAAAUGUUGAUACUGCUGUUCUUAUGAACAUAAUGUAAAUUUACAGAUAUCUAUAACAUUUAGCCCUUUUAUGUUGGUCUUCUGUUCGUAAUAAAUUGCACAUGUAAUUUUUCCACUAUACAGGUACAAAAUUGUACAACGUACAUGUAUAUGAGCACAAAUUCUUUUUAAUCAAAUUGUACUUGUUUAGAUUAAUCUCUGUCGGACAUGUCUGUGUUCAUGUUGAAAACUAGAACUGUUCACCUUUGGUCAUCCUUAACUGCUGUGGAACGAUCUCUACGAGGCUGCUACAAGAUGUUGAAUUACUUUAUAGAUUACAUGAGGUUUUUUCUUUACACAUGUUUCCAUCUGUAGGUUCUGUUAAUUUUACAAUUUAACAGUCAUUACAUAUUUUCACUUUCUGCAUUCUAUUUAAAUGGAGGGUUUUCUUUCUGUCCAGAAAAAACAGGCAAGAAAAAGUGGGUGUCAAAAACUGGAUCCUCCUUUCACCUUUAAGCUGAGUCUUACUAUAUUGUUUUUAAUCAUUUUUAACAUGCUGUUUGACAUCACCAUGAUCACACUGUGGAACGUCUGGUUGGAAAGUUAUCUUUAUUCCAUUUCAAAAAGUUAUGUUGCCCUGAACACAUUGUU
This 676-nucleotide long non-coding RNA is filed under the name Mytilus galloprovincialis (Mediterranean mussel). Lineage: Eukaryota; Metazoa; Mollusca; Bivalvia; Mytilida; Mytilidae. The record is from RNAcentral.